Molecule: transfer RNA, 72 nt
Filed under: Camelus bactrianus (Bactrian camel)
Lineage: Eukaryota; Metazoa; Chordata; Mammalia; Artiodactyla; Camelidae
Also listed under: 2 other names
Rfam family: tRNA
About the family: Transfer RNA (tRNA) molecules are approximately 80 nucleotides in length.
Source: Rfam by way of RNAcentral
GAGGGUGUAGCUCAGUGGUAGAUUGUGUGCCUAGCAUGCACGAGGUCCUGGGUUCAAUCCCUAGUACCUCUG